This 460-nucleotide ribosomal RNA is filed under the name uncultured bacterium. RNAcentral describes it as "partial 16S ribosomal RNA". It matches the Rfam family "Bacterial small subunit ribosomal RNA", at positions 338 to 795 of the family's 1533-position model. The record is from RNAcentral.
CCUACGGGAGGCAGCAGUGAGGAAUAUUGGUCAAUGGACGAGAGUCUGAACCAGCCCAGUAGCGUGAAGGAUGACUGCCCUAUGGGUUGUAAACUUCUUUUAUCUGGGAAUAAAAUGUUCCACGUGUGGGAUUUUGUAUGUACCAUAUGAAUAAGGAUCGGCUAACUCCGUGCCAGCAGCCGCGGUAAUACGGAGGAUCCGAGCGUUAUCCGGAUUUAUUGGGUUUAAAGGGAGCGUAGGUGGAUUGUUAAGUCAGUUGUGAAAGUUUGCGGCUCAACCGUAACAUUGCAGUUGAAACUGGCAGUCUUGAGUACAGUAGAGGUGGGCGGAAUUCGUGGUGUAGCGGUGAAAUGCUUAGAUAUCACGAAGAACUCCGAUUGCGAAGGCAGUUCACUGGACUGCAACUGACACUGAGGCUCGAAAGUGUGGGUAUCAAACAGGAUUAGAUACCCCAGUAGUC